RNAcentral lists this unclassified non-coding RNA (416 nucleotides) under soil metagenome. RNAcentral's name for it is "partial contains 5.8S ribosomal RNA, internal transcribed spacer 2, and large subunit ribosomal RNA". The stretch from base 1 to 120 matches the Rfam family "5.8S ribosomal RNA", at positions 35 to 154 of the family's 154-position model. The record is from RNAcentral.
GAUGAAGAACGUAGCGAAAUGCGAUAAGUAAUGUGAAUUGCAGAAUUCCGUGAAUCAUCGAAUCUUUGAACGCACCUUGCACUCCUUGGUAUUCCGAGGAGUACGCCUGUUCGAGUGUUAUGAAGCUCUCAAAACGCAAUUGGCUUAAAACCUGAUUGUUGUUUUGGAUUUGAACUUUGCCGUGUUAUAACGGCUGGUUUUAAAAGUAUUAGCUGGUACUAGAACGAAUUGGUUCUACUCAACGUGAUAAUUAUCUGAUCGUUGAGGACAUUCCUUUCACGAGGAAUGGCCAUAGUAAAUUCAAUGGACUGCUUCUAAUCUGGCUUUAAUUCUUUAUUGGAUUAACCACUUUUCAAAUCUGACCUCGAAUCAGGUGGGACUACCCGCUGAACUUAAGCAUAUCAAUAAGCAGAGGA